UCAGACAUGGUGUAACGGUAACACAUCUCCCUUGAAUCCAUGUACAUCUCCCAGGGUUUUGGAGAGGUCCCAGGUUCGAUCCCUGGUGUCUGAA
Non-coding RNA from Mycena alexandri, 94 nucleotides. Lineage: Eukaryota; Fungi; Basidiomycota; Agaricomycetes; Agaricales; Mycenaceae. The record is from the annotation of a GenBank genome assembly.